RNAcentral lists this long non-coding RNA (4863 nucleotides) under Lynx pardinus (Iberian lynx). Lineage: Eukaryota; Metazoa; Chordata; Mammalia; Carnivora; Felidae. The record is from RNAcentral.
CGCGAAGUGGUUAGGCUUGGAACUUAGCCCCUGCUGGCGCGGGUGUCGCAGACUUUGGACGGAGGGUCAGUGGGGCGGCGGGAACCCGAGUGCCCGGCGGGGGCCCCGCCCCUCCGUCCUUCCCAACUUCCUGUCAGCGGAGAGGCGCUCGGAGCCCUCGGACUGGGUCCCUGUUGCCCUUCGGAAAGGCGGGCCUCAGUUUCUCGGUCCGCGCCGUGGGCGGGGGAGACCUGGAGUCAUUUUCUGGUGGUUCCAGCUGUGUUCGAAGGUGUCCCCCGCGCCCUUUCUCACCUCACGGCGGCCGAUCUUGUUCUGCGCUUUCUAGGUGGCACUUGGGAGUCUCGCCCUGGGAGGGAGACGGGUCCGUAGUCUCCGGUCGCAGAUCCGUGGACCCUCUUCGCAGACGCCUCGUGGAGCCUCAGGUCGGUCGGCUUCUUUUUGCAGUGGGACUUGUGAGCUCAUAUCCCCGCGGUUUCCUGCAUGGCGUUUAAGAAGGGGGUGGUGCAGUGGUCUGCCCUCCACUUGCUGCGAAGCUUUGGGCAAGUUGUUCUACCCCCGGGGUCCCUGGUCUCCUAGGAGCCGAGAACGCUCCAGCGUUGUAGGUGCUGGCUUUUGGCUUUGCAGAGGCAAAUGCGUGUGCGUCCCGGUACCUGUUCCUUGAGUAAAGCGCUGUGCAGUCCAGAAGGGCCCAAAUUCCUCAGUGUUAGGGUGGGGAGAGAAGGAAGAGGGGUCAACAAACUAAUAGCUUUGGGAGGGCUAAGGUUCUCAAAAGUGUUAAGAGACCCAAGCUUAAGAAGGUUCACGGCCAAGCAGGGCUGGCUGGUUGGCGCAGGGGAGCCUUCACCCUGAUGCUACAGGGGUACACAGGCAUGCUGAUGAGCAGGCAGGGGACAGCUAGGGUUCUGACCGGGGGUAGGAGUUUGGGACUGGGGGGAAGCCAGGGCAGAGACUUGGGUAGUGCACUGUGUAUUGGGCAUGGGAUGUGGUUUUUGUGCGCAGCCUGGCACUUAACCUUAGAUUGGUGGCAGGAGCUUGGAGUGUGGUUCGUGGUCACUGGCGUUCACCGUCAUUGGUUUUCAGAGCUUGAUGAGGAACUGGACUGGAGUCCCGAGUGGAUUGCAUUUGUGUGCUGCCACUUGAGCCACUGCUGCUGGCAGGCUCUGUUAUAUUGUUUUUCUCUGUUAGGAUGGGAAGGCUUUCAGGUGGAAGAAUCAUCCCCCAGAGUGAGGGCCAUACCUGAGAGGUUCCUGGAUGCUUAGGUGGCAGAAGUAGGUGCUGGUGGCCCUAGCAGCUUCAGAUGCUGCAGGCCACCCUGGGAGGUGCUCAGCAGAAAGAUCAGCAGAGCUGUGUCUCCCUGGAGGAACUCACUCUGAUGGGGGCAGGGGUAGAUAAACACAUAGGCAACUGUGCACAAAGGUGUGUGCAGACCGUGGUGCCCCUGGAUGUGAGCAGAUGGAACAUUGGGAUAUGUGUGGAGGGGUUGCAGAGUGUGUUCUGUGGCAGCUGUGAGUGGACCUCCCUUUGCAGAGAUACUUGGGAAGUGGCCACUGUCAGGUUAGGCAGUGGGAGAGCCCUGAGAGAGGGCUCCUGGCAUUGGAAGGGAACUGUACUUGGUGAUGGUUGCAGCCUCCUUUCCCACUUCUGGGCUCUUUGGACUGCUCAGGGUUGAUGACCACUGCCCUCCAGGCCCUUUACUGGAGUGACUUUGAGGUGGUGAAAGAAGACACAGCGAGUGAGAUUAAACUUGAGGGAUUGGAUCCUGUGCUGUUGACGAGGAUGAGGACAGGGAGGUGGUGUUUAGGAUGAGGGUGGUGUUGUCAGCACGCUGGACUCUGAGUGGUGAGGUAAGUCUGGAAAGCAUGGGUAGAGAGGCUGGUGGGCACCAGAGAAUAGUGGGACCCCAGGCUUCUGUCUGGCAUGCAGGUAGCCCCUUCCAAGCUCUUAGUGCUUUGAUGUAAAAGAAUCUUGUGACCUGGUCUGCUUACUUAACGCUCACAGUGUUUGGGGUGACUGGGGGCUCCUUCUCAGUGGAUUGAAACGUAGUUCAUAACCAGCAUGGUGAUGUGUGGUGGUUAAUCAUAUGGUCUUUAGAGCCAGGUUCACCUGCCUCGGUCACUUACUGAUUGGUGUGUGGCUGCAGACAAGUGACUUCACUCACCACUUUGCCUCUGGUACGAUAAGAGUAUCAGCCUCAUCAAGGGGUCAGUGUUUGCCAUAGAUAGAGCACUCAGUUAAAGGUUGCUUUUGUUGUUCUUCUGAAAAUCCCUGACAGCCAGCCAGGCUGUCCAAGGAAGCCCAGGGGCUUCUGAUCUGGCCCCUUUUCCUUCUCCUGGGACUGAUAGCAUCUGCCAUCACACCUUGCCCAUGAAACAUCACAGGUGGCAUUUGCCCACCUUCUCAGGCCUCUCAGGCCUGCCUCUUGGGCCCUCCUUCCAGUCACAGCUCCUAGUGGGGUACCUGGGGUUUGCCUGCAUAUUGCCUCCUUUUGCUGCAUGGUGGAGAUGGUUGGGCCUAGUUCCCGCUCUUCCCCACCUUGUUUUUGGACAGGAUUGCCUUGGAUGGUGGCCUGCAUCUGACUGUCCCAUCAGCUCUUCUCAGCUCUCCUGAGGCCACAGCUGUCAGCUCCUCUGACCCUCAGCACUUGCCUGGAACAUCUGGGUUUGCCAGACACCUCUUCAGCCCAUCUCUGUCCUGCUGUGUCCUGCCCACCCUCCCCGCUGCACCAUCUCUUCCUUUCUUCCCCCUUCCUCUUCUAGUUGGUGUGGCAGCUCCCCUCUGCUCCCAGCAUGCCCUGUUGCUGGCGCCAUCGGCACGGCCCUUGCAAUCCCAUCCCAGCAGCAGCCAGUUAUGCCAACACACACCCUUGGCAGCAGAUGGACCAGGUCUCUCUUGGGGUCACAUAUGCCCCCCUAGUGGAUCCCUGGAUUGAGCGGCCCUGCUGUGGGGACCCCGUAUGCGUGCAUACGACCAUGGAGCAGAAGAGCACAGCCAGCAGUGCUCCUGGUGGUAAGCCCACAGAAAGGGGACCCCUGGCUCUGUGCAUGCCCAGCCCAUGGCCCCUCAGCGUGGACUUCUACUAGGUGCCAAGCUUGGACCCAGGCACCUUUGAUGACUCCCCAUGGCUUGUGGACCGAUUUUGGGCUCAGUUGGGUGAUUACAUGUCGUUUUGCUUUGAGAACUGUCAGGACAACCUCAGUCACGUCUGUGAGAUCCUUGGGCACCCGACCGGCCAAGCCCGGGCAUGAGCACCCCCCCUACCUCGUCGGGGACCUGCCCCUUCCUGACGAUUAUGAGCUCUUCUGCCAGGAUCUCGAGGAUGUCAUUCAAGACCUGAACAGUUUUGCUGAGUACCAUGCUGCAACGCCUUGCCCCCUGGCCCCUGCCUCAAGCCAGUCACCAGUGGCCCCGCAGCUGCCUGUGGUGAGGCAGUACUUAGCUAAGUAUUCGGAGGUCCUGGCAUUCAACGUGGGUGCUGUCCCAGUUGCUGUGGCCACCUUUGCUGUUUAUACUUCCAACUCUACAUCCAGAAAUGGUCUCCCUGAGUAGCAGCUGGCCAAGGAGAGAGCAGCCUUGGGUCUGUGGAGUCCCUCACCUUGUCUAGUUCCGCAUGCAGGGCUGAUGCUGGUCCUGUGAGGCCAGCCUCAUCCCAUCCAGGGUAGGCGGUCCCCACACCUGUCCCUGCACUUUCAGGAUCUGUAACCCGCCUACCCAGAAACCAGAUCCAGUUCCGCCAGGGUCCAGAAACCCAGAAGACAAAGGAGGAAGUUUCUAAGACAGAGGAAGACCAGAAGGCAUCCUUAAGUACCCCUCAGCAGGUUGCAGACACCCCAGAGACCCCAAGAGAGCUAGCAGUUUCUCUUGCUCCCUACCCCACAGCCCUGGAUUCUGAACACAGUCCAGGCAGAUUCAGUAGUGCCCCUUGUGAUGAAGUGGCCUGCAUAGCUGAAAAGCCCCACAGUGCCCCAGCAGGACAGAGUGGCAUUGCCAGAUGACUGUAGCCAUAGUGUGCCAGGUAUUGCCUUAUCCACUUGCUUUAUUGCUGGGCCACUUGUUUUAUUGCUUUAUUGGAGGUGCACCUGUUUGGGCUCUGCCCUGUCUGAACACAGACAGCCCCCUUGUCCUCACCAUCCCACCUCCUCUUGUAGCAGAAUAUUGGGCUCUACCAUGUGCUCCUCAUUCUCUGACUUCUCCAGUCACCCAGAGGCUGCCUCCCUGUGCAUUGCCAGCUGCAUUGCCAUUAGUUGGACAGAGUUCCAUACAGCAGUCCCCAUUCAGAUAUCUGUAUGUCUUCAUAACCACCCCCUCCCCAGAUCCCUCAUUCAGUGUUGGCUAGACUGGACUGGGUCUGCCAUGCCAGCCCUGUUUAGAUCUGUCCCUGGAUGGUAUCUGUACUUAGGCCCCCUUCCCCAUCUUGGCUCUCUGUGACCUUUGUCCUCUGGGCUAGAAUUUAAGGAAGGCUGCAUGGAGGAAGUGGCCACUUUGAUCAUUUAGUACUAGUGGGAUGGCAGAGAAAGAUGCUUCCCUAUGGGUAUACCAGGAGCCUGGGACAGCUAGGGAGAUGGGAUACAAGCCUCCUUGCCAGUCUUAACUAAGUUCCAAGCAUUUCCCCCUUCUGUAUAUUAACAUUGUAGUUAACACCUGGUGUUUUCAGAAGUUGGCAUGAAUUUCUGUGUCUCAGUGCCUUUGCCCAUUGUUGCCUUCCCACUUUCUGCUAUUCAGCAUUCCCUGCCUCCCUGCCCACUGUUGGGCAUUGCUGACUCAACACUUAAGCCAUAACACUAUAAAUGACUUGUAUCUUUGGGUAGAUUGUGAGCCUCUAGGGCAGGAGCUCCAUCCUAAUCAGCUUUGUGUCCCUGGUACACA